RNAcentral lists this ribosomal RNA (570 nucleotides) under Dunckerocampus pessuliferus (yellow banded pipefish). RNAcentral describes it as "partial 16S ribosomal RNA". It matches the Rfam family "Bacterial large subunit ribosomal RNA", at positions 1817 to 2597 of the family's 2925-position model. Lineage: Eukaryota; Metazoa; Chordata; Actinopteri; Syngnathiformes; Syngnathidae. The record is from RNAcentral.
CGCCUCUUGCAUGACUUAGUAUAAGAGGUCCUGCCUGCCCUGUGACCCUAGGUUUAACGGCCGCGGUAUUUUGACCGUGCAAAGGUAGCGCAAUCACUUGUCUUUUAAAUGAAGACCUGUAUGAAUGGCACGACGAGGGCUUAACUGUCUCCUUCCCUUGGUCAAUGAAACUGAUCUGCUCGUGCAGAAGCGAGCAUAACAACAUAAGACGAGAAGACCCUGUGGAGCUUUUAGACGUAUAAGUGGAUCGAGUAAAGAAGCCCAAUUUAACAGAUAAAACUAAACGAAGCCCACCUAAAUGUCUUUGGUUGGGGCGACCACGGGGAAACACACAACCCCCACGAAGUAAGGCAUUAACCUUAUAACCAAGAACAACAGUUCAAAGCAUCAAAACAUUUGAACUUAAGAUCCGGCAAAGCCGAUUGACGAACCGAGUUACCCCAGGGAUAACAGCGCAAUCCCCUUUUAGAGUCCCUAUCAACAAGGGGGUUUACGACCUCGAUGUUGGAUCAGGACAUCCUAAUGGUGCAGCCGCUAUUAAGGGUUCGUUUGUUCAACGAUUAAAGUCCU